Molecule: ribosomal RNA, 443 nt
Filed under: uncultured bacterium
Lineage: Bacteria
Description: partial 16S ribosomal RNA
Rfam family: Bacterial small subunit ribosomal RNA
Source: RNAcentral
CCUACGGGUGGCAGCAGUGGGGAAUAUUGGGCAAUGGGCGCAAGCCUGACCCAGCAACGCCGCGUGAAGGAAGAAGGCUUUCGGGUUGUAAACUUCUUUUCUCAGGGACGAGGAGAGUGACGUUACUUGAGGAAUAAGCCCGGGCUAACUACGUCCCAGCAGCCGCGGUAAUACGUAGGUGGCAAGCGUUAUCCGGAUUUAUUGGGUGUAAGGGGCGUGUAGGCGGGAGUGCAAGUCAGAUGUGAAAUCUCAGGGCUCAACCCUGAGACUGCAUUUGAAACUGUGGUUCUUGAGUGCUGGAGAGGCAGACGGAAUUCCGGGUGUAGCGGUGAAAUGCGUAGAUAUAAGGAGGAACACCAGUGGCGAAGGCGGAUUGCUGGACAGUAACUGACGGUGAGGCGCGAAAGCGUGGGGAGCAAACAGGAUUAGAUACCCGAGUAGUC